Molecule: ribosomal RNA, 2904 nt
Filed under: Escherichia albertii
Lineage: Bacteria; Pseudomonadati; Pseudomonadota; Gammaproteobacteria; Enterobacterales; Enterobacteriaceae
Description: bacterial LSU rRNA
Rfam family: Bacterial large subunit ribosomal RNA
Source: RNAcentral
UUAAGCGACUAAGCGUACACGGUGGAUGCCCUGGCAGUCAGAGGCGAUGAAGGACGUGCUAAUCUGCGAAAAGCGUCGGUAAGGUGAUAUGAACCGUUAUAACCGGCGAUGUCCGAAUGGGGAAACCCAGUGUGUUCCGACACACUAUCAUUAACUGAAUCCAUAGGUUAAUGAGGCGAACCGGGGGAACUGAAACAUCUAAGUACCCCGAGGAAAAGAAAUCAACCGAGAUUCCCCCAGUAGCGGCGAGCGAACGGGGAGGAGCCCAGAGCCUGAAUCAGUGUGUGUGUUAGUGGAAGCGUCUGGAAAGGCGCGCGAUACAGGGUGACAGCCCCGUACACAAAAAUGCACAUGCUGUGAGCUCGAUGAGUAGGGCGGGACACGUGGUAUCCUGUCUGAAUAUGGGGGGACCAUCCUCCAAGGCUAAAUACUCCUGACUGACCGAUAGUGAACCAGUACCGUGAGGGAAAGGCGAAAAGAACCCCGGCGAGGGGAGUGAAAAAGAACCUGAAACCGUGUACGUACAAGCAGUGGGAGCCCUGAUUUAUCAGGGUGACUGCGUACCUUUUGUAUAAUGGGUCAGCGACUUAUAUUCUGUAGCAAGGUUAACCGAAUAGGGGAGCCGGAGGGAAACCGAGUCUUAACUGGGCGUUAAGUUGCAGGGUAUAGACCCGAAACCCGGUGAUCUAGCCAUGGGCAGGUUGAAGGUUGGGUAACACUAACUGGAGGACCGAACCGACUAAUGUUGAAAAAUUAGCGGAUGACUUGUGGCUGGGGGUGAAAGGCCAAUCAAACCGGGAGAUAGCUGGUUCUCCCCGAAAGCUAUUUAGGUAGCGCCUCGUGAAUUCAUCUCCGGGGGUAGAGCACUGUUUCGGCAAGGGGGUCAUCCCGACUUACCAACCCGAUGCAAACUGCGAAUACCGGAGAAUGUUAUCACGGGAGACACACGGCGGGUGCUAACGUCCGUCGUGAAGAGGGAAACAACCCAGACCGCCAGCUAAGGUCCCAAAGUCAUGGUUAAGUGGGAAACGAUGUGGGAAGGCCCAGACAGCCAGGAUGUUGGCUUAGAAGCAGCCAUCAUUUAAAGAAAGCGUAAUAGCUCACUGGUCGAGUCGGCCUGCGCGGAAGAUGUAACGGGGCUAAACCAUGCACCGAAGCUGCGGCAGCGACGCUGAUGCGUUGUUGGGUAGGGGAGCGUUCUGUAAGCCUGUGAAGGUGUGCUGUGAGGCAUGCUGGAGGUAUCAGAAGUGCGAAUGCUGACAUAAGUAACGAUAAAGCGGGUGAAAAGCCCGCUCGCCGGAAGACCAAGGGUUCCUGUCCAACGUUAAUCGGGGCAGGGUGAGUCGACCCCUAAGGCGAGGCCGAAAGGCGUAGUCGAUGGGAAACAGGUUAAUAUUCCUGUACUUGGUGUUACUGCGAAGGGGGGACGGAGAAGGCUAUGUUGGCCGGGCGACGGUUGUCCCGGUUUAAGCGUGUAGGCUGAUUUUCCAGGCAAAUCCGGAGAAUCAAGGCUGAGGCGUGAUGACGAGGCACUACGGUGCUGAAGCAACAAAUGCCCUGCUUCCAGGAAAAGCCUCUAAGCAUCAGGUAACAUCAAAUCGUACCCCAAACCGACACAGGUGGUCAGGUAGAGAAUACCAAGGCGCUUGAGAGAACUCGGGUGAAGGAACUAGGCAAAAUGGUGCCGUAACUUCGGGAGAAGGCACGCUGAUAUGUAGGUGAAGCGACUUGCUCGUGGAGCUGAAAUCAGUCGAAGAUACCAGCUGGCUGCAACUGUUUAUUAAAAACACAGCACUGUGCAAACACGAAAGUGGACGUAUACGGUGUGACGCCUGCCCGGUGCCGGAAGGUUAAUUGAUGGGGUCAGCGCAAGCGAAGCUCUUGAUCGAAGCCCCGGUAAACGGCGGCCGUAACUAUAACGGUCCUAAGGUAGCGAAAUUCCUUGUCGGGUAAGUUCCGACCUGCACGAAUGGCGUAAUGAUGGCCAGGCUGUCUCCACCCGAGACUCAGUGAAAUUGAACUCGCUGUGAAGAUGCAGUGUACCCGCGGCAAGACGGAAAGACCCCGUGAACCUUUACUAUAGCUUGACACUGAACACUGGUCCUUGAUGUGUAGGAUAGGUGGGAGGCUUUGAAGUGUGGACGCCAGUCUGCAUGGAGCCGUCCUUGAAAUACCACCCUUUAAUGGCUGGUGUUCUAACGUUGGCCCGUAAUCCGGGUUGCGGACAGUGUCUGGUGGGUAGUUUGACUGGGGCGGUCUCCUCCUAAAGAGUAACGGAGGAGCACGAAGGUUGGCUAAUCCUGGUCGGACAUCAGGAGGUUAGUGCAAUGGCAUAAGCCAGCUUGACUGCGAGCGUGACGGCGCGAGCAGGUGCGAAAGCAGGUCAUAGUGAUCCGGUGGUUCUGAAUGGAAGGGCCAUCGCUCAACGGAUAAAAGGUACUCCGGGGAUAACAGGCUGAUACCGCCCAAGAGUUCAUAUCGACGGCGGUGUUUGGCACCUCGAUGUCGGCUCAUCACAUCCUGGGGCUGAAGUAGGUCCCAAGGGUAUGGCUGUUCGCCAUUUAAAGUGGUACGCGAGCUGGGUUUAGAACGUCGUGAGACAGUUCGGUCCCUAUCUGCCGUGGGCGCUGGAGAACUGAGGGGGGCUGCUCCUAGUACGAGAGGACCGGAGUGGACGCAUCACUGGUGUUCGGGUUGUCAUGCCAAUGGCACUGCCCGGUAGCUAAAUGCGGAAGAGAUAAGUGCUGAAAGCAUCUAAGCACGAAACUUGCCCCGAGAUGAGUUCUCCCUGAGACUUUAAGUCUCCUGAAGGAACGUUGAAGACGACGACGUUGAUAGGCCGGGUGUGUAAGCGCAGCGAUGCGUUGAGCUAACCGGUACUAAUGAACCGUGAGGCUUAACCUU